This 517-nucleotide ribosomal RNA is filed under the name Escherichia coli. RNAcentral describes it as "partial 23S ribosomal RNA". It matches the Rfam family "Bacterial large subunit ribosomal RNA", at positions 2261 to 2777 of the family's 2925-position model. RNAcentral also lists the same sequence under 4 other names. The record is from RNAcentral. Lineage: Bacteria; Pseudomonadati; Pseudomonadota; Gammaproteobacteria; Enterobacterales; Enterobacteriaceae.
GUGGGUAGUUUGACUGGGGCGGUCUCCUCCUAAAGAGUAACGGAGGAGCACGAAGGUUGGCUAAUCCUGGUCGGACAUCAGGAGGUUAGUGCAAUGGCAUAAGCCAGCUUGACUGCGAGCGUGACGGCGCGAGCAGGUGCGAAAGCAGGUCAUAGUGAUCCGGUGGUUCUGAAUGGAAGGGCCAUCGCUCAACGGAUAAAAGGUACUCCGGGGAUAACAGGCUGAUACCGCCCAAGAGUUCAUAUCGACGGCGGUGUUUGGCACCUCGAUGUCGGCUCAUCACAUCCUGGGGCUGAAGUAGGUCCCAAGGGUAUGGCUGUUCGCCAUUUAAAGUGGUACGCGAGCUGGGUUUAGAACGUCGUGAGACAGUUCGGUCCCUAUCUGCCGUGGGCGCUGGAGAACUGAGGGGGGCUGCUCCUAGUACGAGAGGACCGGAGUGGACGCAUCACUGGUGUUCGGGUUGUCAUGCCAAUGGCACUGCCCGGUAGCUAAAUGCGGAAGAGAUAAGUGCUGAAAG